UGAGGGACCAGCAGACCCAUGGAGAGAGGUGCCCAUGCUGGACACCUGGUCAGACUUGUGACCCUGUUGGGAGAUUGUCCUGGUUUCAGCCAGGAUUGAGUUAAUUUUUUUGCAGUGUGUCUGGAGGGGCCUGAAGCCUGAAGCCAGUUCUCCUCUCCAGCCCCCCACACUGGUGGCAGAAGAAAGGGGAGGGGGAGUGAGCGAGCAGCUGUGUGGUUUGGAAGGUCUUGGUGGGAGAACUGAAUUGGGGAUACCACUCCUAAACCAUGACAGGCACCCACUCUGGAGCAAGCUGUGCCUGAAGGAUUUAACCCUGUGGAAAGGAGCACAAGUUGGAGCAGUUCAUGAAGAACUGUUUCUCAUGGUAUGGCUUGAGCUUGGAGAAUUUCAUGGGGAAUGGUCUCCCAUGGGAGGGACCCUAUGCUGGAGCAAGCGAAUGGCUCCUCUCCCUGAGCAGCAAAAUGUGUGAUGACCUGACCACAACCCUCAUUCCCUGUCUCCCUGUGCCACUGGAAGAGGAAGCAGACCCCAGGAAAAAGGGAAGGGCCACUUGGGGAGAGGAGUAAUAGAGGAGUUUUGGCGAUAUCUGGCAUCCAACCAGGGUAAACCACCACACGAGUAAUGGAAAACUUGCUUUCAAAUUUAGCUUUUUUGAUCUCAGAAAAAAUAGCUGUCUCACUCCUUUCAAGCAGUGAAUUUAAUUCCAGGAGGAAUUUAAAUCCAGGAGGACCUCUGCAAUUGAACUUUCUACUGAUGGAAAGAAGGAAGUAGAGAGAAUCUAGCAGAGGUUUUUGCAGAGUGCAUUGCCUUAGCUGUGUAGUACCUGCACAAUCUCUUUUUGUCUCUGUCCUGGAUCAACAGCAUUUAUCAGUCAGGCCCACUUUGCAGUAGGUAGUUACAACAUUGGGUAAUUAGAACAGGUGCUUUCGGGGAACUGUUUCCUGGGCUGGCUGCUGAAAAUCAUGUCCACCAACACCCACAUAUUCUGCUCUUACCUUUCUAGUUUUGGUAUGAAUGCCCCCCUUCUAAGCUCUCAGUUUUAGACUUGCAAAUAUCUGCUUUGCACACCAAUAGCAGAUAAAGCAACCACUUUUCCACCAGUCCCCAGUUCUUUCUCUUAGGCAGCCCAUCUUCAGCAUUGUGGCCCAUUUAUACUCUCAAGCAUGGCAGCUGUGUGGCUGGAGGGAGUUUGGCCUCUGACUAAUUACAUUUCAUUGCUCUUGAAGCUGACAUUUUUGCUGCUGCAGAUCAGUACAAAUUACAAACAUGCAUAUGUGGGUUACUGACCUCCUUGGCAAGACAGUAAUCUUGUCCUAAUUGUAAGGUUUCAUGCCUGGGAGCACGGCUGUAAGAAAUAAAAUAUCAUUGUAUGUUAUGAAACAAAAGUACCCUGGUAAACUUAGUCUGGAGAAAACACAAGACACUAAUUUAUAAUUAGCAGAUAAAAUAAAUAUGGAAAAUCUGUCUGUUACCCUGCAAAGGUUUUUGAAGACAGACAUUUGAGUACCAGAAAGUUGAUGUUUGGACUUGCUUUGACUUUUAGAGAAUCAUUCUGUAAACUGCACACAACAAACUGAACCUAGAGUUCUGAGAGGGUCCACUCAGAGGGAGGUGAUGGUCACAGCUCAUUGUGGUCUAGCUUAAAGGGUCUCACCUAGGACCACUGUUUGUGGGGUAGCAAGAGACUGGGCUUGUCAUAAUUUUCCUUCCUGUCUAAAAUUCAGAUUGGUAGCUUUCUUUGAAAUUUUGAUGAUGAUGAUGAAAUUAUUACUCCACUUUGGUUGUUAUUGAAGCAGGAGAAAUAAGUUUCCAAUGGUGUUUGUUAAAAACAGGUGUUCAUUAAACUUUCACCUGGGAGCAGGCUGGGCUUCUGAUAAGCUCAAGAGGAACUGAGUCCAGGUCCUUUUCAUCAAGGCUGAGACUUAACCAGCUUUUCUGAGAUUAUGGUGUGACUCUAGGUUUAAGAUAGGAAGAGAGGAUGUGUCACCACAGCUAUAAAAGUAAGUCCUUGAGGCUGGGUAGAGGCAGUAUCUGGCUCUUCUGUUUUACUUGAUAUGUAUCACCUUCUUACAGACUGAGUAAAAUGCAGAAAGUUACCUUCUUGCAGUGACUGCUUCUCUGUCUGCAUUCAUGUGGACUGCGCUUUUGGCAUUUGCUCUGCUGGGUGGGCAGACAGACGAUUGCUCCUGUUGCUGACUGACAAGCCUGAAUGGUCAUGAACUGUAAGUGAGCUAAAAUGUUUGCUUACAACAGAUCUGUGAACCUAUGCCCAGCAAGAGAGAUAUAUUCUGUUUCUUGGCAUAGUGGAUGAGAAUUUCUGUAAAUGGUGUUUUAGCAGAUGUCCAGUGUUGUGGCACUUGCUGUUCAGAGUUAUUUCAGUGUUGAUUCAGUACUAUCAGGGUCCAAGUCUAGAUGCUGAAAACUGCGUUAAAAAGCUAAAUCUAUCUCUGACUACCACAAUAACUUCUCUGACCCACUGUUUUUUAACAUAAUUUAUGCACUCUUAAUGUGACAGCAACUGAAUCACAUACUUCCCAGGUGGAACUUUGAUUAUUUUGGCUAUUGUUAAUACAUCAUAGGCAAUCCCCACAAGUUCAAGUGUCUUGCUUCAUGUAGCAUGUGCAUGCUGUUUAGUGCAUGUCGUGUUUGUGCUGUGGGUUGUGCAGCCUAAGAAUGAUCUUUCUGCCUAGGCAGGGGCGGCAUAUGGGAGGUGGCACUGGGAUGAGCGAAGUGCCAAGAGAAGGACUAGAAACAGACAGACUUACAGAGGAAAUAACCGGGAGGAGGAGGGCAGAGCAGCAGAGGCAGUUUGAGUAGCUGGGAGAUUUGGUACAAAAGAGUUCCCUAUAAUAGAAAAGGGAGAAGCUGAUGGAGACUUCCUGAAAACUGCUUGGAGGCAAAGCCUACCUGAUGGGAAUUAAACUCUGUAAGGGUCUGGAGGGCAAGACAAGUUGUGGAGAAGCCUGAUAUCCAGAAAAUGUGUAUGAAUAACUCGGGGAUAGUCCUGUGGAACACAGUAAAGCUGUCUUUAGGACUUGAGAACAGACCUGAAUCCUAAAAGAGGAGGAGAAAAACAUUUCUUAGCAGUCAGUGGAAGAAGAAAUGAAAGCAGAAUGAGAGAAUAGAGGUCCUACAUAAAGGCGGGUCAUACUGAGAGCAAGAACCGUACAAAGCAUGUGGACAAUCUUGUUUUCCAUGCCCUGCUCUUGGGAAGCACUGGCUGAAGAUCAAAGAGACCUGGAAACAUUGCAGCAUGACCAGGACUGAUGAGGCAUUCUUGUGUGGAAUAACAGGUCUGAAGAUCCUGAAGGCAUCUCUGGUGAAAGCGACUAACAUGGUUCUGCCUGUCUAAGAGUACUUGCAACAAUAUUGAAAAGGAAAUGUUUCACCAAACAUUGUGACUUCUGCCAAAAUUUGCCACUAGCCCUGUGAGCUGGGCUGCCUUCAUUAAGGACAGGAGAAGGAUAUUGUGUCCAUAAUGGCUCUGCCAUGUUUUGAUGAAGCAUCAGAUACUUGAGGGAUGUCCUUUUGGAUGACAUGAUGGCAGAUCUGCUCUGCAGAAAUUCCCCAGAUAAUUCCUGGAAAGCAGGCCAGGGGUGUGUGGGAUUUCAAGAGGUAAAAUCAGGUCGCUGUCACCUGAUUCCUUUCAUUUUGCUUACACUUUGAAGACUGGCCCUGUUAACUGUUGACAGCACAAGCAAAGGUUGCUCUAGCUAGCUCCUUGCCAGGCCGUUCAGCUCACAUGAAUGUGUGACCAACAGCAGUGCAAGACUUCUGGCUCUGAGUGCCAGAGGAAAGUGUCAGGUGAGGAAUCACACUAGGGCAGCAUAUCUGUCCAACCAAAAUGUUGAGGGUGAGGCCAGGGAAGAUGGAAGAAAUUCGAUGUUGAGUGGAAGGACAAAAGCUCACUUGUUUUCAUUUUCAGAUUUUUUGUGAAAGAGGGGCCUUAUGGUAUGUCUAAGUUUUUGCUUAGUAAGCUGUAUUUAGUAGGUCAUGAAAGCUACCACAGAGAUGACAGGGAGUCCAAGUUCUUAUAAUAACAGAAAAUUGAAAUUUUAAAUCUGGGGGGUUUUUUUGUGGGUAUUUUUUUUUCCCCUCCUAUUUGCGUCUCCUUAUCCAUUUAAAUAAUAAUUCACUACGUUCUGGAUUGCUCUCCCUCAAAAGAGAAACAUGACCUAAAUUUUGGCUGUUGAAAGAAAAGUUAGUUAUAGCUUUAGAAGUAAAAAAAAAAAUAAAACCAAAAAACUCCAACACUACAUAUGCAUAAAAUCUAUCAUGGUUUAACCCCAGAUGGCAGCUAAGCACCACACAGCCACUGGCUCACUCUCACCACAGUGGAAAUGUGAAAGAGAAUCAAAAGAGUGGAAGUAAGAAAAUUCCUGGGUUGAGAUAAAGACAGUUUUUUAGGGAAAGCAAAAGCCACACACGCAAGAAAAGCAAAAUUUAUUCACCACUUCCCACUGUCAUACAGGUGUUCAGCCAUCUCCAGGAAAGCAGGGCUCUAUCACGUGUAAUGGUUAUUUGGGAAUUAAAACACCAUCACUUUGAAUGUCCCCUGUUCUCCCAGCUUUAUGUGCUGAGCAUGGUGUUCUAUGGUAUGGAAUACCACUUUGGUAAGUUCAGAUCAGAUGUCCUGGCUGUCUUCCCUCCCAGCCUCUUGUGCGCCUGCUCACUGGGAGAGCACAGGAAGGAAAUAUCCUUGACUUAGAGCAAGUCCUGCUUACUAACUGCUAAGACAUCAGUAUGUUAUCAACUUUAUUCUCAUAGAAAAACCAAAAUACAGCACUGUAUCAGCUACUAAGAAAACCAACUCUAUCCUAGCUGAAAUCAUGUCUAAAUAUUUCUCAAGGUGCAAAUUAAGUAUAGUAAUGAUGUUCAAACCCCAUCAAAGCUUAUUUUUGUACAGAGGACUAAGUAUGACUUGUUAGUUAUGGCCCCCCCAAGUAUAACAUGUUAGUUAUGUGCCUUCUUUGUCCACAGAACUGGGUCUUUUUUCCGAGAUGCAGGAAUGUGACAAUUUUCAAGGAAACUAUGCAUUUCUUUUUCCUGUCUGUUUUUCAUACCACUCCUGGUAUCCCAGAGAUGGUGUUAACACUUCCCAGUUCAAUGCUUCUGUGCAUUUAAAUAGCACAUGGCUGACCCUUAUCUUCUUGCUCAUUAAUAAAAUGCUAGAAAAUACCUAACCUACAAUUUGGUUCUUUUGAGAAAUAUUACUGCUUGACUUGAUUUACUGCUGUUCAACACUGCCCUUUGUAUGCUAAAUCCCUUCAUGCUGCUGAAAUUUAUGUAACAGCAUUGACAGCUAAGAUGAUCUGAGUUAACACUCUUGGGUAAGACUGGUACAGUUUUUGUUUUCAAAACCAGGAAGAAGCUUCCUCACUGAGGUCCACCUAUAGAGAGAAUACAUGAGAACUGAUCUAGUAUCUUUAUAGCUAUUGCUGGGUUAGCUAGUUGUUUUAAUUAUCAAGGUCCUACACCGUAAGUUACAGCUAACU
Molecule: long non-coding RNA, 5495 nt
Organism: Passer domesticus (house sparrow)
Lineage: Eukaryota; Metazoa; Chordata; Aves; Passeriformes; Passeridae
Exons: 3
Source: RefSeq, a predicted model, not a curated record